Molecule: ribosomal RNA, 292 nt
Filed under: uncultured bacterium
Lineage: Bacteria
Description: partial 16S ribosomal RNA
Rfam family: Bacterial small subunit ribosomal RNA
Source: RNAcentral
GUGUCAGCAGCCGCGGUAAUACGUAGGUGACAAGCGUUAUCCGGAUUUAUUGGGCGUAAAGCGCACGCAGGCGGCUGAUUAAGUCUGACGUGAAAUCUCUCGGCUUAACCGGGAGCGGUCGUUGGAAACUAAUUGGCUUGAGGCGAUGAGAGGGGUGUGGAAUUCCCGGUGUAGUGGUGGAAUGCGUAGAUAUCGGGGGGAACAUCAGUGGCGAAAGCGGCACCCUGGCAUUUGCCUGACGCUCAUGUGCGAAAGCGUGGGGAGCGAACGGGAUUAGAAACCCCGGUAGUCC